RNAcentral lists this ribosomal RNA (732 nucleotides) under uncultured Glomeromycotina. Its description in RNAcentral is "SSU rRNA". It matches the Rfam family "Eukaryotic small subunit ribosomal RNA", at positions 374 to 1105 of the family's 1831-position model. The record is from RNAcentral. Lineage: Eukaryota; Fungi; Glomeromycota.
GGUUCGAUUCCGGAGAGGGAGCCUGAGAAACGGCUACCACAUCCAAGGAAGGCAGCAGGCGCGCAAAUUACCCAAUCCCAAUACGGGGAGGUAGUGACAAUAAAUAACAAUAUGGGGCUCUUACGGGUCUCGUAAUUGGAAUGAGUACAAUUUAAAUCUCUUAACGAGGAACAAUUGGAGGGCAAGUCUGGUGCCAGCAGCCGCGGUAAUUCCAGCUCCAAUAGCGUAUAUUAAAGUUGUUGCAGUUAAAAAGCUCGUAGUUGAAUUUCGGAGUUUGUCGGUUGGUCGGGCUUCACUGUCCGCACUGGCCUGAUGGAUUCCUACCUUCUGAAUAACCAGCAUGCUAUUAAGUUAGUGCGUUGGGGAAGCAGAGCUAUUACCUUGAAAAAAUUAGAGUGCUUAAAGCAGGCUUUUGCUUGAAUAGAUUAGCAUGGAAUAAUAAAAUAGGACGGCAUGGUUCUAUUUUGUUGGUUUCUAGGAUCACCGUAAUGAUUAAUAGGGAUAGUUGGGGGCAUUAGUAUUCAAUUGUCAGAGGUGAAAUUCUUGGAUUUAUUGAAGACUAACUUCUGCGAAAGCAUUUGCCAAGGAUGUUUUCAUUAAUCAAGAACGAAAGUUAGGGGAUCGAAGACGAUCAGAUACCGUCGUAGUCUUAACCAUAAACUAUGCCGACUAGGGAUCGGACGAUGUUAAUUUUUUAAUGACUCGUUCGGCGCCUUACGGGAAACCAAAGUG